GGAAACAGAUCAGCCAAUAGCCCCCACAGUGGUCUAUAACAGCCCCCUGAGCCCCAAAAGGCAGUGAAAAGGGCAUUCGAGAAAGUAAACUGAGGCGCUGGAAGGGGACCAGGCCAGAGCCUGGAGUCCUGGGGCCGGGAGGGGCUGGC
Long non-coding RNA from Myotis davidii, 149 nucleotides. RefSeq lists it as uncharacterized. The record is from RefSeq and is a predicted model, not a curated record. Lineage: Eukaryota; Metazoa; Chordata; Mammalia; Chiroptera; Vespertilionidae. The transcript has 3 exons.